This 253-nucleotide ribosomal RNA is filed under the name uncultured bacterium. RNAcentral describes it as "partial 16S ribosomal RNA". It matches the Rfam family "Bacterial small subunit ribosomal RNA", at positions 524 to 776 of the family's 1533-position model. The record is from RNAcentral.
UACGUAGGUGGCAAGCGUUGUCCGGAUUUAUUGGGUUUAAAGGGUGCGUAGGCGGUCUUUUAAGUCAGUGGUGAAAUACUUCAGCUCAACUGGGGAGGGUCACGCGAUACUGAUCGACUCGAAGGCAGGAGAGGGUAGUGGAAUUCCCGGUGUAGUGGUGAAAUGCGUAGAUAUCGGGAGGAACACCAGUGGCGAAGGCGACUACCUGGCCUGUUCUUGACGCUGAGGCGCGAAAGCUAGGGGAGCAAACGGG